This 253-nucleotide ribosomal RNA is filed under the name uncultured bacterium. RNAcentral's name for it is "partial 16S ribosomal RNA". It matches the Rfam family "Bacterial small subunit ribosomal RNA", at positions 524 to 776 of the family's 1533-position model. The record is from RNAcentral.
UACGGAGGGUGCAAGCGUUAUCCGGAUUUACUGGGUUUAAAGGGUGCGUAGGUGGAUUUGUAAGUCAGUGGUGAAAUCUCCGAGCUUAACUCGGAAACUGCCAUUGAUACUAUAGAUCUUGAAUUAUCUGGAGGUAAGCGGAAUAUGUCAUGUAGCGGUGAAAUGCUUAGAUAUGACAUAGAACACCAAUUGCGAAGGCAGCUUACAACAGUUCGAUUGACGCUGAGGCACGAAAGUGUGGGGAGCGAACAGG